GCGACGCAGAAGACGGUGAUUUCUGCAUUUCCAUCUGAGGGGAAAGCACAAACAAAAUCCCCCACUACCACAAAUUAUGCAGUUGAGUUUCCCACAUUUGGUGAAAUCACAGGUGUCAGCACAUCCAGAGUGCAAUGGAUAAGACUUGCCAUGGGAAAACCAUCUAUGUGAUCAUGGUAUCUCCCCUGCCAGAUGGAAUCUUGCUCUGUUGCCCAGGCUGGAGUG
Molecule: long non-coding RNA, 225 nt
Filed under: Homo sapiens (human)
Lineage: Eukaryota; Metazoa; Chordata; Mammalia; Primates; Hominidae
Description: HSALNT0321487
Source: RNAcentral